CCUACGGGACGCAGCAGUGGGGGAUAUUGCACAAUGGGGGGAACCCUGAUGCAGCGACGCCGCGUGGGUGAAGGAGCGUUUCGGCGCGUAAAGCCCUAUCGGCAGGGAAGAAGGAGGACGGUACCUGACUAAGAAGCCCCGGCUAACUACGUGCCAGCAGCCGCGGUAAUACGGAGGAUGCGAGCGUUAUCCGGAUUUAUUGGGUUUAAAGGGUGCGUAGGCGGAUCGUUAAGUCAGUGGUCAAAUUGAGGGGCUCAACCCCUUCCCGCCAUUGAAACUGGCGUUCUUGAGUGGAAGAGAAGUAU
This 305-nucleotide ribosomal RNA is filed under the name uncultured bacterium. RNAcentral's name for it is "bacterial SSU rRNA". It matches the Rfam family "Bacterial small subunit ribosomal RNA", at positions 338 to 660 of the family's 1533-position model. The record is from RNAcentral.